Molecule: ribosomal RNA, 1171 nt
Filed under: uncultured organism
Description: bacterial SSU rRNA
Rfam family: Bacterial small subunit ribosomal RNA
Source: RNAcentral
GGUGGUCACUCACACUGGGACUGAGAUACGGCCCAGACUCCUACGGGGGGCAGCAGUCUAGAAGCUUCCACAAUGGACGAAAGUCUGAUGGAGCGACGCCGCGUGUGGGAUGACAGCCGUGAGGUUGUAAACCACUGUCAGCAGGGAAGAAUGCCUUGAUGGUGAAUCAGGCAGAGACGGUACCUGCAGAGGAAGCCCCGGCUAACUCCGUGCCAGCAGCCGCGGUAAUACGGAGGGGGCAAACGUUGUUCGGAUUUACUGGGCGUAAAGGGUGUCUAGGCGGUUCGAUUAGUCUGGUGUGAAAUAUCCUCGCUCAACGAGGAAGACGCAUUGGAAACUGUCGAGCUCGAGAGUGGAAGAGGCAGGUGGAAUUCCUGGUGUAGCGGUGGAAUGCGUAGAUAUCAGGAAGAACACUCGUGGCGAAGGCGGCCUGCUGGUCCAUUUCUGACGCUGAAGCACGAAAGCCAGGGGAGCGAACGGGAUUAGAUACCCCGGUAGUCCUGGCCGUAAACGUUGAACACUGGAUGUCGGGGGUAUCGACCCCCUCGGUGUCGGAGCUAACGCGUUAAGUGUUCCGCCUGGGGAGUACGACCGCAAGGUUGAAACUCAAAGGAAUUGACGGGGGCCCGCACAAGCGGUGGAGGAUGUGGUUUAAUUCGACGCAACGCGAAGAACCUUACCUGGGCUUAAACCGCAGGGUAAACCCUCUGAAAGGAGGGCUGCUUCGGCAAUCCUGUAGAGGUGCUGCAUGGCUGUCGUCAGCUCGUGUCGUGAGAUGUUGGGCUAAGUCCCGCAACGAGCGCAACCCUUGCUCUUAGUUACCAGCGCGUAAUGGCGGGGACUCUAAGAGGACUGCCCUCGCAAGGGGGAGGAAGGUGGGGAUGACGUCAAGUCCUCAUGGCCCUUAUGUCCAGGGCUACACACGUCCUACAAUGGCCGGUACAAAGGGCUGCAAGCUCGCGAGAGUUAGCUAAUCCCAAAAAGCCGGUCCCAGUUCGGAUUGCAGUCUGCAACUCGACUGCAUGAAGGUGGAAUCGCUAGUAAUCGUGGAUCAGCAUGCCACGGUGAAUACGUUCCCGGGCCUUGUACACACCGCCCGUCACAUCACGAAAGUCGGUGGUACCGGAAGUCGCUGAGCCAACCCGCAAGGGAGGCAGGCGCCGAUGGUAUG